Molecule: long non-coding RNA, 280 nt
Organism: Morus notabilis
Lineage: Eukaryota; Viridiplantae; Streptophyta; Magnoliopsida; Rosales; Moraceae
Exons: 4
Source: RefSeq, a predicted model, not a curated record
AUCCAGACAAUCAAAAUUUUAAUUGAUGUCAUUGGCAUUGUAACAAAGGUGUAAAGUAUUGAGCAAACAAAUGUUAACAACAGACCAACAUCACGACACACAAUAAUGAUACAAAAUAUAAGAAAUGAACAGCUGCAAGUUACUUUAUGGGGACAUAAAGCAUAUCAAUUUGACGAAAAUGUCUUUAAAUCAAUAAAAGGACCAGUUGUAACAGUCUUUGCAGCAAUGUUACUCAGCAAUAUCUAGCUAAAAACACAACACCAAAAAUUGAUAAAACAAG